This 430-nucleotide ribosomal RNA is filed under the name Bacteroidota bacterium. Its description in RNAcentral is "Bacteroidetes bacterium partial 16S ribosomal RNA". It matches the Rfam family "Bacterial small subunit ribosomal RNA", at positions 355 to 776 of the family's 1533-position model. The record is from RNAcentral. Lineage: Bacteria; Pseudomonadati; Bacteroidota.
UAGGGAAUCUUCCGCAAUGGACGCAAGUCUGACGGAGCAACGCCGCGUGAGUGAAGAAGGUUUUCGGAUCGUAAAGCUCUGUUGUUAAGGAAGAACGAGUGUGAGAAUGGAAAGUUCAUGCUGUGACGGUACUUAACCAGAAAGGGACGGCUAACUACGUGCCAGCAGCCGCGGUAAUACGUAGGUCCCGAGCGUUGUCCGGAUUUAUUGGGCGUAAAGCGAGCGCAGGCGGUCAAUUAAGUCUGAUGUGAAAGCCCCCGGCUCAACCGGGGAGGGUCAUUGGAAACUGGUUGACUUGAGUGCAGAAGAGGAGAGUGGAAUUCCAUGUGUAGCGGUGAAAUGCGUAGAUAUAUGGAGGAACACCAGUGGCGAAGGCGACUCUCUGGUCUGUAACUGACGCUGAGGCUCGAAAGCGUGGGUAGCAAACAGG